GACGAACGCUGGCGGCGUGCUUAACACAUGCAAGUCGAACGGUGAAGCGCCUUCCUUUUUGGUGGGUGUGGAUGAGUGGCGAACGGGUAAGUAACACGUGAGUAACCUGCCCCCUUCUUCUGGAUAACCGCAUGAAAGUGUGGCUAAUACGGGAUAUUCUGGGUCUGUCGCAUGAUGGGUCUGGGAAAGAUAUUGUUUCGGUGGGGGAUGGGCUCGCGGCCUAUCAGCUUGUUGGUGGGGUGAUGGCCUACCAAGGCGGUGUCGGGUAGCCGGCCUGAGAGGGUGGACGGUCACACUGGGACUGAGACACGGCCCAGACUCCUACGGGAGGCAGCAGUGGGGAAUAUUGCACAAUGGGCGCAAGCCUGAUGCAGCGACGCCGCGUGAGGGAUGGAGGCCUUCGGGUUGUGAACCUCUUUCGCCAGUGAAGCAGGCCUGCCUCGUUUGUGGGUGGGUUGACGGUAGCUGGAGAAGAAGCGCCGGCUAACUACGUG
RNAcentral lists this ribosomal RNA (494 nucleotides) under uncultured bacterium. RNAcentral's name for it is "partial 16S ribosomal RNA". It matches the Rfam family "Bacterial small subunit ribosomal RNA", at positions 28 to 507 of the family's 1533-position model. The record is from RNAcentral.